RNAcentral lists this unclassified non-coding RNA (425 nucleotides) under soil metagenome. RNAcentral's name for it is "partial contains 5.8S ribosomal RNA, internal transcribed spacer 2, and large subunit ribosomal RNA". The stretch from base 1 to 120 matches the Rfam family "5.8S ribosomal RNA", at positions 35 to 154 of the family's 154-position model. The record is from RNAcentral.
GAUGAAGAACGCAGCGAAAUGCGAUAAGUAGUGUGAAUUGCAGAAUUCCGUGAAUCAUCGAAUCUUUGAACGCACAUUGCGCCUUCUGGUAUUCCGGAAGGCAUGCCUGUUCGAGAGUCAUUAACAACCGUUUCGAUCCCUUUCUUUCAGAAAUUACAAAGAGGAAAAGGGUUUGGUUAUGGUGGAGGAGGGAAAGGGAGCGUUUAGCCUGUAAAAAAAGAGGCUGUGUUCCGCCUCCCCCCCAAAAUUGUACAGGCGGUCGUGUGCGCCCACGCAUCGAGGUGUUGUAAAAGCUGCCACGGCACUUUUCACCUGUGCAGUGCGAGAUUGGCCAGCCGGUUUAAAAACCCCUCCAAACAAUCAAAGGUUGACCUCGGAUCAGGUAGGGAUACCCGCUGAACUUAAGCAUAUCAAUAAGCGGAGGG